Molecule: ribosomal RNA, 387 nt
Filed under: uncultured bacterium
Lineage: Bacteria
Description: bacterial SSU rRNA
Rfam family: Bacterial small subunit ribosomal RNA
Source: RNAcentral
AUUAAACGCUGGCGGCAUGCCUUACACAUGCAAGUCGAACGGCAGCACGGGGGCAACCUUGGUGGCGAGUGGCGAACGGGUGAGUAAAGCAUCGGAACGUGCCCUGGAGUGGGGGGAUAACGUAGCGAAAGUUACGCUAAUACCGCAUAUUCUGUGAGCAGGAAAGCAGGGGAUCGCAAGACCUUGCGCUCUGGGAGCGGCCGAUGUCGGAUUAGCUAGUUGGUGGGUAAAGGCCUACCAAGGCGACGAUCCGUAGCGGGUCUGAGAGGAUGAUCCGCCACACUGGGACUGAGACACGGCCCAGACUCCUACGGGAGGCAGCAGUGGGGAAUUUUGGACAAUGGGCGAAAGCCUGAUCCAGCCAUGCCGCGUGAGUGAAGAAGGCCU